UACGAAGGGGGCUAGCGUUGCUCGGAAUCACUGGGCGUAAAGCGCACGUAGGCGGACUCUUAAGUCGGUGGUGAAAUCCUGGAGCUCAACUCCAGAACUGCCUUCGAUACUGAGAGUCUUGAGUCCGGGGGAGGUGAGUGGAACUGCGAGUGUAGAGGUGAAAUUCGUAGAUAUUCGCAAGAACACCAGUGGCGAAGGCGGCUCACUGGCCCGGUACUGACGCUGAGGUGCGAAAGCGUGGGGAGCAAACAGG
This 253-nucleotide ribosomal RNA is filed under the name uncultured bacterium. Its description in RNAcentral is "partial 16S ribosomal RNA". It matches the Rfam family "Bacterial small subunit ribosomal RNA", at positions 524 to 776 of the family's 1533-position model. The record is from RNAcentral.